UACGGGGGGGGCAAGCGUUGUUCGGAAUUACUGGGCGUAAAGGGCUCGUAGGCGGCCAACUAAGUCAGACGUGAAAUCCCCAGGCUCAACCUGGGAACUGCGUCUGAUACUGGUUGGCUUGAAUCCGGGAGAGGGAUGCAGAAUCCCAGGUGUAGCGGUGAAAUGCGUAGAUAUCUGGAGGAAUACCGGUGGCGAAGGCGGCAUCCUGGACCGGCAUUGACGCUGAGGAGCGAAAGCUAGGGGAGCAAACGGG
Molecule: ribosomal RNA, 253 nt
Filed under: uncultured bacterium
Lineage: Bacteria
Description: partial 16S ribosomal RNA
Rfam family: Bacterial small subunit ribosomal RNA
Source: RNAcentral